This 166-nucleotide non-coding RNA is filed under the name uncultured Faecousia sp. Lineage: Bacteria; Bacillati; Bacillota; Clostridia; Eubacteriales; Oscillospiraceae. The record is from RNAcentral.
CAUCGUAAAGUAGAAUCUGAAGGAAGGAGUAGACAAACCUCUGGUCUGACGAACGGAAAUCACAUUAAGGCUGUAGUAAAGGAUAAGUCUGUCAUACAAGCCGAAGUGCGAAAACUACCCGGAAGUACUUCGCGGUAAAUAUGGCAGACAGAUGGAGGGGGAGAUU